AACGUAGGAGGCGAGCGUUAUCCGGAGUUACUGGGCGUAAAGCGCGUGUAGGUGGUCUGUUGCGUCUGCUGUGAAAUGUCCCGGCUUAACCGGGAAGGUGCGGCGGAUACGGGCAGACUAGAGGGUGACAGAGGAGCGUAGAAUUCCGGGUGUAGUGGUGAAAUGCGUAGAGAUCCGGAGGAAUACCAGUGGCGCAAGCGGCGCUCUGGGUCGAGCCUGACACUGAGACGCGAAGGCAUGGGGAGCGAACGGG
This 253-nucleotide ribosomal RNA is filed under the name uncultured bacterium. RNAcentral describes it as "partial 16S ribosomal RNA". It matches the Rfam family "Bacterial small subunit ribosomal RNA", at positions 524 to 776 of the family's 1533-position model. The record is from RNAcentral.